GCAUGGGGGUGCUACCAUGCAGUCGAGCGGUAAGGCCUUUCGGUGGACUCGAUCGGCGAACGGGUGAGUAACACGUGGGUGAUCUGCCCUGCACUUCGGGAUAAGCCUGGGAAACUGGGUCUAAUACCGGAUAUGACCUCCUAUCGCAUGGUGGGUGGUGGAAAGAUUUAUCGGUGCAGGAUGGGCCCGCGGCCUAUCAGCUUGUUGGUGGGGUAAUGGCCUACCAAGGCGACGACGGGUAGCCGACCUGAGAGGGUGACCGGACACACUGCGACUGAGACACGGCCCAGACUCCUACGGCAGGCAGCAGUGGGGAAUAUUGCACAAUGGCGCGAAGGCCUGAUGCAGCGACGCCGCGUGAGGGAUGACGGCCUUCGGGUUGUAAACCUCUUUCAGCAGGGACGAAGCGCAAGUGACGGUACCUGCAGAAGAACACCGGCUAACUACGUGCCAGCAGCCGCGGCGAUACGUAGGGUGCAAGCGUUGUCCGGAAUUACUGGGCGUAAAGAGUUCGUAGGCGGUUUGUCGCGUCGUUUGUGAAAACCAGCAGCUCAACUGCUGGCUUGCAGGCGAUACGGGUAGACUUGAGAACUGCAGGGGAGACUGGAAUUCCUGGUGUAGCGGAGAAAUGCGCAGAUAUCAGGAGGAACACCGGUGGCGAAGGCGAUCUCUCUGGGCAGCAACUGACGCUGAGGACCGAUAGCGUGGGUACUGAACUGAUUAGAUACCCUGGUAGACCACGCCGUAACGAUGCCGCUAGGUGCGCGUCCUUCCCGGAUCCGUGCCGUAUCUACGCAUUAGCGCCCGCCUGAGAGACGGCCGCAGGAUAAACUCAAAGAAUGACGAGGCCGCACACCGUGGAAGAUGUGGAUUAUUCAUGCACGCGAUACCUUACUGGAUGACUAUACGAAAUCUGCGAAUGGGUCCC
Molecule: ribosomal RNA, 928 nt
Filed under: Rhodococcus qingshengii
Lineage: Bacteria; Bacillati; Actinomycetota; Actinomycetes; Mycobacteriales; Nocardiaceae
Description: bacterial SSU rRNA
Rfam family: Bacterial small subunit ribosomal RNA
Source: RNAcentral